AUUGAACGCUGGCGGAAUGCUUUACACAUGCAAGUCGAACGGCAACACGGACUUCGGUCUGGUGGCGAGUGGCGAACGGGUGAGUAAUGUAUCGGAACGUGCCCAGUCGUGGGGGAUAACGUAGUGAAAAUUACGCUAAUACCGCAUACGAUCUAUGGAUGAAAGCGGGGGAUCGCAAGACCUCGCGCGAUUGGAGCGGCCGAUAUCAGAUUAGGUAGUUGGAGGGGUAAAGGCACACCAAGCCAACGAUCUGUAGCUGGUCUGAGAGGACGACCAGCCACACUGGAACUGAGACACGGUCCAGACUCCUACGGGAGGCAGCAGUGGGGAAUUUUGGACAAUGGGCGAAAGCCUGAUCCAGCCAUUCCGCGUGUAGGAUGAAGGCCCUCGGGUUGUAAACUGCUUUUGUACAGAACGAAAAGGUUUCUACUAAUACUAGGAGCUCAUGACGGUACUGUAAGAAUAAGCACCGGCUAACUACGUGCCAGCCGCCGCGGUAA
This 500-nucleotide ribosomal RNA is filed under the name uncultured bacterium. RNAcentral's name for it is "partial 16S ribosomal RNA". It matches the Rfam family "Bacterial small subunit ribosomal RNA", at positions 30 to 523 of the family's 1533-position model. The record is from RNAcentral.